This is a long non-coding RNA of Oncorhynchus keta (chum salmon), 4343 nucleotides long. RefSeq lists it as uncharacterized. The transcript has 2 exons. NCBI's taxonomy places the organism in Eukaryota, Metazoa, Chordata, Actinopteri, Salmoniformes, Salmonidae. The record is from RefSeq and is a predicted model, not a curated record.
UGAUUACUCACAAUGCCCAGCAGAUGGCAACACUGUACUUACUGUGUAUCUGUUGAACUCAGAGGUGGCCUAUGGAUUCUACUGUAAGGACUAACUACAAACACAGAAGCAUAGUGCAGUAAGCCAUUCCUCUCUGGGUGGUAAAAGUGACUCAGGGCCAGAAUCCCAGGUUUCCACCACAUCACAUGGAUGGUACAUGUGUAACAGGGUGGCACUGUUGAGUUGGUGAGCGCAGCCUUAAGUCUCUGUCAGUGCCGGUGGCUGUUCCUGUCGUUCUACAGCAGGGGUCGGCCCACGGGCUGCAAAGUGUUGUGUUACAGAACCAAAUCAAAUGUAAUUUGUCACAAGUUCCGUAAACAACAGGUGUAGACUUACAGUGAAAUGCUUAAUUUACAGGCCCUUCCCAACAAUUGCAGAGAGAAAAAUAUAGAAAGAAAAUAACACGAGGAAUAAAUACACAAUGAGUAACGAUAACUUGGCUAUAUACACAGGGUACCAGCACUGAGUUGAUGUGCAAGGGUAUUAGGUAAUUGAGGUAGAUAUGUACAUAUAUGUAGGGGUAAAGUGACAAGGCAACAGGAUAGAUAAUAAACAGUAGCAACAGUGUUAGUGCAAAGAGGGUCAAUGCAGAUAGUCUGGUUAGCUAUUUGGUUAACUAUUUAGUAGUCUUAUGAUUUGGGGGUAGAAGUUGUUCAGGAUCCUGUUGGUUCCAGACCUGGUACAUUGGUACCGCUUGCCAUGUGGUAGCAGAGAGAACAGGCUGUGACUUGGGUGGAUGGAGUCUUUGACAAAUGUUUUCCUCUGACACCGCCUGGUAUAGAGGUCCUGGAUGGCAGGACCAUACGCACUACCCUCUGUAGCGCCUUGCAGUCGGAUGCCAAGCAUUUGCCAUACCAAGCAGUGAUGCUACCAGUCAAGAUGCCUUUAAUGGUGCAUCUGUAGAACAUUGAGGAUCUGAGGGCCCAUGCCAAAUAUUUUCAGCCUCCUGAGGGGGGAAGAGGCAAUGUCAUACCUUCUUCACAAAUGUCUGGGUGGACAAUGUUUAUUCCUUAGUGAUGUGGAACUAAGGAACGUGAAGCUUUCAUCGCGCUCCACUACAGCCCCAUCGAUGUGGAUAGGGGUGUGCUUGGCCCUCCGUAUCCUGUAGUCCACGAUCAGCUCCUUUGUCUUGUUGAUGUUAAGGGAGAGGUUGUUGUCCUGGCACCACACUGCCAGAUCACUGACCUCCUCUAUAGGUGGUCUAAGCAGCCUUAAUGAUGGCGUUGGACUUGUGCGCAGCCAAGCAGUCGUGGGUGAACAGGGAGUACUGGAGGGGACUAAGCAUGCACCCCUGAGGGGCUCACGUGUUGAGGGUCAGCGUGGAAAACCUUUUGCUUCCUUGGUUAUAAAUGUGAGGACACAUUUCAAAAAUCGAGGGGAAAGAUAUGACAGGGUGGAACUGUUGAGUUGGUGAAUGCAGCCUUGUGCCUCUGUUGAUUGUAAUUACGAGUGUGGCCUUCAGUAUUUAACAUGGCUGUUCUUGUUGUUCUACAUAGUCGCAUUACCAUGAGAAGUUUGGCAUGCGCAGGGAGGAUGGGAGUGGCAACAUUGGGCUAGUACAAAUUUUGAAGUAUAUCCGGUGAUUUUGUAAGUGUGUAUGGCAAGAGUACCCGUAUGCCAAUUUUACCCACUCUCCUUCUCCCCUUGGCAUUCCCUCGUGAGAGUAUUGUGCAACAUGUUCUGUGAACACGAGUAAUUGAUCUGAUCUGUGUUAUGCCAUAACUCAGGCAUAUAUUGAAUAUAAUUGAGGAUUUGUCUGUCCCCUAAAGUUUUUUUUAUGCCCUGUGAUAGGGAAUCAGUACGAGCUAGAGCUUCCAAGGAACAUGUAUGCCUGGAGCUGAAGAUGAAAUUAUGGUGUCAAAUAUUUGUGGGUUGUUCACUAUACCGCUGCCUAUUAUUCCCAUGCUCCACUCCCUGAUGUUAGAGAAUCUGUGUGUUUCAGAUUAGUCCCGAGGACCUCCCCUCGCGUAUAUGUAAAUCCCUGUGUUACACAUCAGAAGAGGGCACACAGUAGUGAAGGCUGAGUCCCAAAUGCCUCCUUAUUCACUAUGGAGGGAAUAGGGUGCCAUUUGGGACUCACACUUAGUGUAUCCUCCUCUGAAAGGUUAUCAUAGCGGGGAUAGUUAGGAGAGACCGGGGAUGGUUGUAACACAGGACAGUUGUGACACUCAAUAUCUCUAAUCAGGAACAAGUCAGAAUCAUGUGACUCGCUGUGCACUAUUUAUUGUGAAGAAGCAAGACCCUGUGAUAGACUGGCGAUUUUAUUGGAAAAAAUAUGAUUUUGAGGUAAGAAAUUAAACAAAUUGACCAAAUGUAUUUUGCAGAUAGCAUCACCUGCUUUGUCGUUCAUCAAACUUAUCAGGUUUAUAACCAGUGUGUUAUUAUAUUAUAUAUUAUAUGUACGCUAUCAAUACUAAAGUUUGAUCAUGUGGCUAAAAAUUUAAGAUAGCUCAUGGCUGCAAGGGUCAGGGUUAGCCUAAGGAGGUCUGGGUGCUGGGCAUGCAAAUUGCCACAGGAGGAAUGCUGCCAGACAUUUUGGUGCUGCAAGAAAGCUCAGCACACCUCAAAUCCAGUGGUUAUGAGGUCAAAUCCCAGGUGGAGUUAUAUUUUAGAUGAACAGCUUACCACUUACUUUAAAAUCACCAUACCAUUACUUUAUUAUAAUGGUUUGGGAUCAUCUGGGACCAUCGUGACGUCCUGACGACUGGUAGAACAAGUGUCUUGAGAACAUCCACUUGCUUAAUCUAUAGUAUGUCACUUUUGUUUUGAGCCAACUUCGCCGUGGGCGUUUAGCGGGGCAGCCCGGUUCCAAACCAAAUGCAAUGACUUUUUACCCAGGGCAAACUCCUGCCGGGGCAACCUGUGUCAGAUAAUCAAAUGUCCCUUCAAUGUCUCACAUGCUCACGUUGUCACAUUUUAUCACAUUAACUUCACAGAAAAUGACACGUGAUCACACAAGAUCACACGUGUUCACUUGUGAAAUUCAUUCGUUUUUUUUUACAUAAGGGACACCACAUUCAGUUGUUUAGUCCAGAUGUUGUUGUUUAGUCCAGAUGUUGUUGUUUAGUCCGGAUGUUGUUGUAGUGGUUGAGAAGGGCCAGUUAAUGGAACGUAAAAAAAUGAUAUGAUUUUUAUUAUUAUUUUAUUAUUUCUGCUGCACAAAAUGUUAACCUCUAUGGGAUCGGUGCCCCCCCCAUAGGACGGUUGAGCUAAUGUGCGCUAAUGUGAUUAGCAUGACAUUUUAAGUAGCAAGAACAUUUCCCAGGACAUAGACAUAUCUGAUAUGGGCAGAAAGUUUAAAUUAUUGUUAAUCUAACUGCACUGUCCAAUUUACUGUAGCUGUUACAGUGAAAUGUUUUUUUUUCUUCAUUUUAUUAUCUUUUACCAGAUCUAAUGUGUUAUAUUCUCCUACAUUAAUUUCACAUUUCCACAAACUUCAAAGUGUUUCGUUUCAAAUGGUAUCAAGAAUAUACAUAUCUUGCUUCAGGUCCUGAGCUACAGGCUGUUCGAUUUUGGGUAUGUCAUUUUAAGCGAAAAUUGAAAAAAGGGUCCGAUCCUUAAGGGGACGUGGCAAUGUUGUUCUCAUGGUCUCCGUAAGGCUUUUAAUAUUUCGUUGCAUAUCAUGAUUUCUGCAUUUUUUUAAACUUACAUUUCACCCCAGGCCCUGUUACAACUGACCUGGGAGGUGACAUAAAUUGUAGCAUUUUACUCCUUGUCUGUUUGAUUUAGAGAGAUAACACCUAUACCUAUUGGUAGCAGACAGAUGGAAGCCGUUCCUAUCACAUAUUGAAUAUAGCAGCUCAAACAAUCUCUGAGAAAUUGACAAAAAUGCUAAAAGUGUUAGAACCAUCCCAGUCUCCCCAAAGUUAUGAAUUCUUCACCAGCACAGAGCGAAUGUUGGCACACUAUAUAUGCCCUGUCAUCUGGUGCCCUUAACUUUGUGUUAACGAUUUGUCAGUCCUAUUUAUUUCUGAAAUAUUCAAUAUAAUAUACAUUUUAUAUUAUGCUUUAUAUGAGAUAUGAUAAGUAGUUUGAUAUAUGAAAAAUUGUGCCAAUUGUUUUCCUGUAUUUCCUGUAUUUUGUGCUGUAGGCCUAUUUCUAGGCGAUCAUACAAAUAGAUUAUGUUGUGAAACAAGCUUUCUGUCACACUUUCCUUCCCCAAAUGCUCCAUUCAGGUCAAGAAAAAUGUCCCCAGAUGGAUCGAUUCUCAUUGUGCCUAUCCUAAUAUUAUCAGGUUAAUAUCAGAGGUUCAUGUAUACAUUUAUUAUUAUUUAAGAAUAAAAUGACUAUGGCUUUGGAUAUGA